UACGUAGGGGGCUAGCGUUGUCCGGAAUCAUUGGGCGUAAAGAGCGCGUAGGCGGCUAGAUAAGUCCGGUGUGAAAGUCAGAGGCUCAACCUGUGAAUGCCGCUGGAAACUGUCUGGCUAGAGUCCGGAAGGGGCGAGUGGAAUUCCUGGUGUAGCGGUGAAAUGCGCAGAUAUCAGGAGGAACACCAAUGGCGAAGGCAGCUCGCUGGGACGGUACUGACGCUGAGGCGCGAAAGCGUGGGGAGCAAACAGG
RNAcentral lists this ribosomal RNA (253 nucleotides) under uncultured bacterium. RNAcentral's name for it is "partial 16S ribosomal RNA". It matches the Rfam family "Bacterial small subunit ribosomal RNA", at positions 524 to 776 of the family's 1533-position model. The record is from RNAcentral.